Molecule: ribosomal RNA, 674 nt
Filed under: uncultured bacterium
Lineage: Bacteria
Description: bacterial SSU rRNA
Rfam family: Bacterial small subunit ribosomal RNA
Source: RNAcentral
UCGAGCGGGAACCUCGGGAGGGGUAACCCUUCCGAGGGGAGAGCGGCGAACGGGUGAGUAACACGUGGGCAACCUGCCCCGGACAUCGGGAUAACCCAGGGAAACCUGAGCUAAUACCGGAUACUCCGGCACGAUCGCAUGAUCGUUCCGGGAAAGCUCCGACGGUCCGGGAUGGGCCCGCGGCCUAUCAGCUUGUUGGUGAGGUAACGGCCCACCAAGGCGACGACGGGUAGCUGGUCUGAGAGGACGGCCAGCCACACUGGGACUGAGACACGGCCCAGACUCCUACGGGAGGCAGCAGUGGGGAAUCUUGCGCUAAUGCGCGAAAGCGUGACGCAGCGACGCCGCGUGGGGGAUGAAGGCCUUCGGGUCGUAAACCCCUUUCGCCAGGGAAGAAGGGAAACUGACGGUACCUGGAGAAGAAGUCCCGGCUAACUACGUGCCAGCAGCCGCGGUAACACGUAGGGGACGAGCGUUGUCCGGAUUUAUUGGGCGUAAAGCGCGCGUAGGCGGCCCGGAAAGUCGGUUGUGAAAACCCGGGGCUCAACCCCGGGCCUGCAUCCGAAACUUCCGGGCUGGAGGUAGGUAGGGGAGAUCGGAAUUCCUGGUGUAGCGGUGAAAUGCGCAGAUAUCAGGAGGAACACCGGUGGCGAAGGCGGAUCUCUGGGCCUUAC